AAGGUACCAUCUAUGAACCCCAGAAAAGAAACAUUCAACAGGCACUCAAUCUGCUAGUGCCUUGAUCUAAGACUUCCCAAACUCUAGAACGGUUGUAUUUAACCAGAGACAGUUGUUGAAGAAGCCACAAACCUAAGUACCAGGUGCACCCUCUUAAUGCUUCAUCUGGAGCAUUUUAUUAAUCUCUUUGACUCUGGAUGGAAACUCAUCUUUCAUAUCUGCAUGUUUGAGAGAUUAUUUGGCAAUGGGAGCACAGUUCCACUGAAGAAGGGGAGGGUAUGAGGAUGGCAUGAGCAGGAGCAGAAUGAGGAAGAACAGGAGGAGAACCAGGGUCCCAGCAAAGCAUUCAAGGCAGAAAGAAGGUAACCUGGUAUGCAGUGGAUACAACUGGUAUGGACAGAAAAACUGCAUUAAAUAGGAGAAGAAUUUCAUCUUAACAAAAGAAUCAACUUUCUCAUAAUAAGGAUUCUUAGAUGCUAGUGGAUGCCAGGCACACCCCUCCUCAACUGUGACAACAAAAUACGUCUCCAGAUAGUGCCAAAUAUCUCCUACAAAGCAAAAUUGUCCCCUGCUGGGAACCGCUGGACCAGUUAAUGCGUUAAGAAGAAAAAAAAGA
Molecule: non-coding RNA, 616 nt
Organism: Microcebus murinus (gray mouse lemur)
Lineage: Eukaryota; Metazoa; Chordata; Mammalia; Primates; Cheirogaleidae
Source: RefSeq, a predicted model, not a curated record